GAAAGUUGUGCCGGGGCCGGCGUUGCUCUAUGUUUGCCACCGCUUCAGGUGUACGGGAAGCCGGUGAAAGGCCGGCGCUGCCCCCGCAACGGUAUGAGGUAGCCGUUACCACAACGCCACCAGGCACGUCCUGGGAAGGCGGUAACGGCGUCACCCCUCGAGCCCGGAGACCGGCCUGUCGCCACUGGCGCGC
This is a non-coding RNA of Alcanivorax sp. Nap_24, 193 nucleotides long. The record is from Rfam. Lineage: Bacteria; Pseudomonadati; Pseudomonadota; Gammaproteobacteria; Oceanospirillales; Alcanivoracaceae.